Molecule: long non-coding RNA, 1742 nt
Organism: Beta vulgaris subsp. vulgaris (sugar beet)
Lineage: Eukaryota; Viridiplantae; Streptophyta; Magnoliopsida; Caryophyllales; Amaranthaceae
Exons: 4
Source: RefSeq, a predicted model, not a curated record
UAUUAAAAAUUUCAAUAUGGCGCUUCUGUUUUUUUGUUUUCCCUCUCCAUUUUUUUUCCUCGACAUUGCUCACCCAAAACCCUUUGGGCUUUGAGACGCUAUCUUUGUAAUCCUGCCUCUGACUUGUUCGUCUUUCGCCAUCCUCGUCGUUGUUAUUUUUCAUCAUCGUUCUUGAAGCAGCAAGAAGAUAGUGCAGGUCGUUUCAUCAUUGUUUCCCCCUCGUUUCGUUGUUAUCGUUUCAUCAUUAGUAGAGUGAUUGGGUACUUGCUGCAGUGAGUCUCUUCCAGGUGAAAAAAAUUUCUAAUUUCCUUGAUUCGCGAAUAUAAAUUUAGACUUUUCUGAAUACAGGAUUUAUGUUGACUGGAGAUUGAUGAAUUCAACUUGGUUAUUGUGGCGAAAUUAGCGAAAUUCAGUUCUGAAUUGGCGAGAAGAACAACGUGAGUUGGUGCUAUAAAGAAAGGUUGUGGGCCGACUAAUAUGUUUGAUAUCCAUGCUCGCAAAUUGGAAGACCGUGUUGCUAUCUAUUGUGAUGACAAAGGACAACCUAUUAGUCCAGAAAAAGCUAGGAAAGAGCUUACUCGAUUCUUAAGAACUAUUGCUCAUGACUACAAUUGGGCCCCUUUAACUUAUACAAAUUGGCAAAAAGUUCCAAAUAAGGACAAAAUAUGAGAUUAUGUGAAAGUGAGUAUUAUUUGUUUUAUGUUUUACCUAGAUUUUAUUUAUUUUUUAUCAAUACAUAACCAACUUUUUAUUUCGAGCAAGUACAUCCUUCCACCUGAAUCUGAAGAGUGGGUAUAUGAAACCCUUGAUCAAUCCUGGAGAAGAUUCAAAUGUAGGCUUGAAAAGCUACAUUAUUAUGCAUAUGAUAGCUAUGAAGAGAGAUUGAAACAUCCGCCAGAGAGAGUACUUGAGGCACAUUUCAAAACACUUCUAGCUUAUUGGGAGACUAAUGCAGCAAAGCAAGCCAUGCGGGAACUGGAGGCAUUACAAGAUGAUCAGAAUAGUGAAUCUCAUAAGGAUUCAUUUGAUGAAGUGAUGGGAAAUGCACCAGGUUCAAAACGAUUACAUGGACUAAGUGUUUCCCGUAAGAUGCAAAAAGAUAAAGAAUCAAGUACAUCUGUAAUAUUGCCAGAGGAGGUCAUUGACUCUGUCAAAAAAAGCUGUAAUUGCAGACGUGCAAAAAGAUUUGAUCACUCAAAGAGAGGAAUUUGCAAAGGAAAGAGAAGCUCAUGCUGCUGAAAUGGAAAGAGUAUCAAAGGAAUUUAAGUCUCAAGCCUCAAAAUUACAAAAUAUGAGCAAGGAACCUGAAGCACCUGAAACUCUUAAUUCAAUUGCUGCUUCACUUGGGCGACUACGGAAAAAAGACCCUAGCUUGACUGCAGAAAUGAUUGUCAUAGUAUUGGUAUCUACACUUUCAAGUGAUGCAUAAAUAAUUUUGAGAUACCACUCUCUUUAUUAGUCAUGGAUGCAUAUAGGAUGAUAGAUAGAAGGAGAAAGGUAGAUACAAGGAUGGUAGGAAAGGCAUAGAUUGAAGUUCUUCUGGACGGAUUUUAGACAACUAAAUUAAAUACUAUAUAGGUUUUGGAUUGUUUGAACUAUUAGUUCUUUUUGGAGAUUCAUUAGGGUUUAAAAUUGAUAUAUUUAUAUUAUAACAAUGGAAUCUGUUAUUAGAAUGAUUGUUAUGGAUAUUUCAUUUUAAUAUUAAGAAAAACAUAAUUUGAAAUAAAUGUUUCAUUUUUGUA